CAGCCACAGACUGAGAGGCCAUGACUCAAUGUGGCCUUCAUCUUUCUGGGAUAGUGCAGCAGGGAAGGUUUUACAAGAAGUUCAGAAAAGAGAGAAUCUCUCCCUCUUUGCAAAUGCUGAGGACUUUGUGGAGUAGGUGGUAUUUUCACCUGAAGGGGGAUUUGGACAUGGAGAGCUAAAAGCUGGGGCCAGGAAUCCCAGUGGAGCCAACCCUUCAACAAGGGAGACGUCCUGCUCCCUUCCUUCUUCAGGCUUCUGCUGGGCUGGGUCGUGACUGCAGCUCAGAUGAAAAGCUGCUGCCCUGCUGCCUUGUAACUGGUAAGCCCAUCUCUAAUGAGGACUAAUUUUUUCAUCGGCAUGCCUGCCUUUGGUGCCAGCUUCAGAGCCAUUGAGUUUUAUGUAGAUCAGAGGUGGAUACAUGUUUAUGAUCACAGGGCCCACAGACAAGGUCCCCAGAGCCCAUGAGAAGAAACCACUGCCUAGCCUUAUUCACAUUUCGCCUGGGGCCCCAGAUGCUGAUUUUCUAGAACAUUCUACCAUGGGGCAACAGCGUUGGCUCAGAGGGAGCUGAGAUCCGGGGUCCCGUGCAGAGAAAUCACAUAUUUGUCCCAGUAGAACCAUUUGCUGGACAGCCAACGGCAGGUGUUGAGUGGGAGCCACAUCCUGAGCUUGAGUACAGAGGCCAGCCAGGCAGCCAGGUACCAACCACCAGCGGUUAUGGAGGUUAUAGUCUAAGGUGAAAGCAGACAACAAACCGCCACCAAAUCGUUAAGUAAGGUGUUCACAUGCUGUGAUGAUUACUCUGGGGAAACAAUCAGGGCUGUGAAU
Molecule: long non-coding RNA, 828 nt
Filed under: Chinchilla lanigera (long-tailed chinchilla)
Lineage: Eukaryota; Metazoa; Chordata; Mammalia; Rodentia; Chinchillidae
Description: lncRNA (ENSCLAG00000028255.1)
Source: RNAcentral